This 904-nucleotide long non-coding RNA is filed under the name Gossypium raimondii (Peruvian cotton). RNAcentral's name for it is "long non-coding RNA (GRAI_LNC011050)". Lineage: Eukaryota; Viridiplantae; Streptophyta; Magnoliopsida; Malvales; Malvaceae. The record is from RNAcentral.
UUUAUUAGAGUAAGUAAAAAGUUGAAGAUUCAAUAUUAAAUAAUAAAUAAAUGUGUCAUAAUUCCAUAUUUAUAUUGUAAUACCCAAAUUUUUACCCGGCCCAUAAUAAACAAAUAAAGUCCAGUUUUUACAAGCCCAAUUACAAGACAAGUUACAUGGCCCGAUUUCAAACGGUGGCCCAGUUACAAACACGGCCCAAAAUAGAUGAAGAAACCCUAGGGUUUCUAAUCUUCAACAGCGCCGCAAGACGAGUCCUCCGGAUCUCCGUGAUCUUCACCUGCAAGGAAACAAAACAACAAUGAAAGAAAUAAAACAGCAAAGAUAGAAAGAAAAUCAAAGAUUCGUAAAUCGAAUCAAACAAGAUUUGUUUCUUUAUUUCUUUUUAUUUUUCAUUCGGCUAUAAAAAAAGCCAUUAACACACUGUAAUAGGGAUCGAAAAUUCAGAAAUCAAAUAAAAUAGAGGCUUUUACUUUCGCAAUACAGAGCAAAAUCAAUACAAGGUUUACAUCUACAGUUUUUUUAUCUUGUUUUAUUGUAAUCUAUUAUUAUUUUUCUAUUCGAAUAAAAAAUAAAUUAAAUUAAAGGAAAGAAAUAACCUUUCUUUUGGAAGCGCCGUGAGACGGCUGAGGGAGCCACCCCCGAGGAUCGGUGGCCGGAAACCGAAAGGUUUCGUGUUGUUUCGAACCUUUUUGCUGAUAUUUUGAAGGAUUUAAGCCCAGAUUUGGGCAUAAGGGGGUCGAGAAGGCCAAACUGGGGAUUUUCACCUUUUCCGGCCACCGCAGACGGUGGUGCCGGCACCGGAGAUCGGCAGCCGAAGCGAUGGCCCACGAAGGGCCGAUGACCGACCGAUGGCCAGAGAACAGAGGGGCUGAGAGUGUUUCUUAAAAGGAUUUGUGGUUUUUUU